This is a long non-coding RNA of Amphimedon queenslandica, 160 nucleotides long. RefSeq lists it as uncharacterized. Lineage: Eukaryota; Metazoa; Porifera; Demospongiae; Haplosclerida; Niphatidae. The record is from RefSeq and is a predicted model, not a curated record. The transcript is spliced from 2 exons.
CAUUAAAUCGCUACUUUUGUCACAUGGUGGACCGUUUUAUUUUAUAACUCAGUAGUGAAGCAACUGAUUGAAGUACAGCAAGCACCAGUGGAUAGAGCAAGUCUUUCUUUGAUGAAUUAGGUCACAAAUUUUGGUUGCUCAAAAAUAAUCGAUUGAAAUA